RNAcentral lists this transfer RNA (73 nucleotides) under Zea mays. It matches the Rfam family "tRNA". From Rfam's summary of the family: Transfer RNA (tRNA) molecules are approximately 80 nucleotides in length. Their secondary structure includes four short double-helical elements and three loops (D, anti-codon, and T loops). The record is from Rfam by way of RNAcentral. Lineage: Eukaryota; Viridiplantae; Streptophyta; Magnoliopsida; Poales; Poaceae.
ACUCAUCUAGCUCAGUUGGUAGAGUGCAAGUCUUUUAAUCUUGAGGUUGUGGGUUCGAGUCUCAUGGUGGGCG